AUAUACCAUAUAUAAUACCAAUAUACGUGGGCUUUAUUAAAUAUAAAUACAUACGAUUUGUUGUGAAAAUAUGUAGUCCAAAAGAUAAAUUCAGACAGUGAAGAAUCAGAUAAUAACGAAGGAAAUGAUGAGAUUGAAGCUGAAGUAGCGCCAAAAGAACCCACUUCCUAUACACUACUGGAUUUACUAUAGUAUAGUAUCUCACGAGAUGAAUAUGCUAUAGAUCCCUAAUACCGUAGAAAAAGCCUGCACUGGGUUUUAUGGUGAAAGUUCCUCUCUCUUCCUGUCUUUUUAUCCAUCCUAUCAUUUUAUACCGCGUUAGCACGCGGUUGACUGCAUUGGCUAUAUGUGUAUGUACAUAUAUAGAGCAUGAAGGGUAUAGAAAGAAAAUUGCAAAAAUUAUAAUCUCCAUUUAGGAAAAUGAUGAACCAAGGGACUUGUUGUUACUCUUGCAUACCUUCACAUUCAAUUCAAUUGCAAUGUUUAAUUCCUUAAUAUAAAUUUUUAAUUCGUUGAAAAAAUAUUUAGAUUCAAAGAGAAUAGUUAAAGAAAGUAGUUAUCCUAAUUAAUAUCUUUUUCUUUAUUUCUUGACAUCGAUAUUAUUAUCGUUUAUUUCGCAAUGGUCUUCGUUAAUAUUUUGCCCUCUUUAGUUGAAAUGUCCUAUUUACCACACCUAAAGGAAAUUUAAAUUUUAUCAUUUUCUUUGUAACAUCUUUUGAUUUUUCUUCAUUGAAUUUAAAAUAUUUAAUUAUUAUUUUAUGACAGCCUGUGUAAUUUUACUUAAAAGAUAAAAUACACGUGGAACUUGAAAUAUUUCAAUGUACAUAUGUUGAAAUCUGAAAAAAUACCAGAUAAGACAUUUUAAUUAAGGAAGGCAGUGUUGUCCCACCUGUCUCUAUAGAAAUAAUUACUUGCUAUAUUUUUAAUUUCAGUAUUCCGAAUUCUUCCCUCCUUUGCUACCAUCAAAGUUGCAAGAGGACAAUACAUGUAUUAUGGGAAAUUACCGGAGAUCAUUGAUUUGCAAUCCAUCAGACUGUGUUAUUCUUCUUCGGGUAGAAAGUUACGAGAUUCAAGUGAAUCUUCGAAUUACGUGCAUGAAAUGUAGAUGGAGCAUUAUAAUACUCCAGCUUACACAAUCGAAACGAUUUAUUUCGUUUUUCGACCAUACACAGAGAAUCCAGUUCACACGAAUGAGUUUCGUAGCAUAAGCGUAGGAAGAUAGCAAAACUUAUCGAAUGCCGGGUGAAAGGACGUCACUCCAGAUCUAGAGAAACAAGUGUGGAACAAUGCCAGAUCAGCGCUGCCAUUUCAUUACCCAUGCAACCUGUUGAUCCUCGUAAUGAGUCGUACAUGAAUUAAUGAAUAAAUGAAAGGUAAACAACACUACGAGCUAUUGUACACUUUUAUUGUUUCCUUUGGAGCAGACAGGACAUACUAAAUUUUCUUUUAUCGCUUAUGGCGCUCAAGGAUUGGCGCACGUGCGAUGAAAACACGAAUAUGCCUC
Bombus huntii is the source of this 1504-nucleotide long non-coding RNA. RefSeq lists it as uncharacterized. The transcript is spliced from 3 exons. Lineage: Eukaryota; Metazoa; Arthropoda; Insecta; Hymenoptera; Apidae. The record is from RefSeq and is a predicted model, not a curated record.